This 67-nucleotide ribosomal RNA is filed under the name Clostridium beijerinckii. RNAcentral describes it as "partial 16S ribosomal RNA". It matches the Rfam family "Bacterial small subunit ribosomal RNA", at positions 1 to 67 of the family's 1533-position model. Lineage: Bacteria; Bacillati; Bacillota; Clostridia; Eubacteriales; Clostridiaceae. The record is from RNAcentral.
UUUAUUGAGAGUUUGAUCCUGGCUCAGGACGAACGCUGGCGGCGUGCUUAACACAUGCAAGUCGAGC